CAAUCUGCCUUGGAGUGGGGAAUAACGGCUGGAAACAGCCGCUAAUACCGCAUGAUACAGCUGGGAGGCAUCUCCCUGGCUGUCAAAGAUUUAUCGCUCUGAGAUGAGCUCGCGUCUGAUUAGCUAGUUGGCGGGGUAACGGCCCACCAAGGCGACGAUCAGUAGCCGGACUGAGAGGUUGGCCGGCCACAUUGGGACUGAGACACGGCCCAGACUCCUACGGAAGGCAGCAG
Molecule: ribosomal RNA, 233 nt
Filed under: uncultured bacterium
Lineage: Bacteria
Description: partial 16S ribosomal RNA
Rfam family: Bacterial small subunit ribosomal RNA
Source: RNAcentral